UACACGACAAAGCCCAACCCACAUAAUACACAACCACACUUGCAAUAAUAAAAUAAUAAUAAAACACAGCCACCAACUAGCAGCAAAUUUUUUUUAUAAUAUAAUAUAAAUUAUUUUAGCCUAAAAAUACAAAAAACUUAAAUUUUAAAAUUUUUUAUUUGUAAUUUACAAAUAACCAGCAGCAAUACCCUAAAAAAAUUCAUCCCUCAUCAGCAUGACAUCAUCAACAUUCUACAAGAAAGACUGCAGCAAAGAACAUAGUUAUUAAGGUGACAAACUUUGAACAAUCACAAGCAAGUUGGCCAAUAAAAGCCAUUUGAUUGAUCUUUCUAGGCACUAACAUCUUCAAUCUCAUUCAAUUUCAGCACCUUUAGGUUUAGAGACAUGGAGAAAUACACCCAUCUCGCAGAAGUUCGAAAAGAAUAUGAAUGAAAAACGAAAAUGCCAAAAUUUUUAAUUUUUUUACAUGAAUAUCUUUUUAGGGUCCAUUCAAAUAAGAAAUUUAAAAUUCAAGAAUUUUAUUUAAAAUUGUAUGGUUUUUAGAGUUGGGAUUCUCUUAAUGGGAGCAGAAGAAACCCUGAGGAGGAGAAUGAAUAAUAAAUAAACAUGUAUUUCCUCGGCGUGUGACCCCGAGGUUAUCUGGGGUGAAGGGUUCUAUGCUUGUAUGCACAGUUUUACCAUGAUUUUGGAAGGGAAACAGACCCUAUAGAUGCAUUAUGCAUCCCUCAUGGUGCUUAUUCAUAGUAAUAUACUCGCUUAUUUUUCAUAAUUCGAUUAAGCCUGCCUUCAACAUUCAUGCAAUCCCCAACAGCUUCUUCACAUCUUUCUUUAUGCUGUGAGGGGAACUAGUUGAGGCAUACCGGUUGACAACAUUGCCAUCUUUAU
RNAcentral lists this unclassified non-coding RNA (885 nucleotides) under Hevea brasiliensis (rubber tree). The record is from RNAcentral. Lineage: Eukaryota; Viridiplantae; Streptophyta; Magnoliopsida; Malpighiales; Euphorbiaceae.